This is a long non-coding RNA of Eriocheir sinensis (Chinese mitten crab), 545 nucleotides long. RefSeq lists it as uncharacterized. NCBI's taxonomy places the organism in Eukaryota, Metazoa, Arthropoda, Malacostraca, Decapoda, Varunidae. The transcript has 3 exons. The record is from RefSeq and is a predicted model, not a curated record.
CAGUUGUCCCCGUACAUCCUUUCAGUAUCCAAAGAAUUUCAAUUUACAUCUUGUAAUCACUCAACUAAUGUAGUGCAAUCCUCAUCUCUGUAUUUUACCGUGUGGACAUACUCUUUCCUUCCAUGUUCCACUGUCGUAUGUUAUUCCACAUCUAACACAACCACAUCCCAACAGAUCCGAACACGUCCGAUAUCAUCCAAGAGAAUGUGGCAGCUGAAGGGGGAGAGGCCAAGGGUGAAGACAUUUAGCCACCCCCCUGAAAUACAUGGCAUCAUUCAACCCUCUUGGUGAGCUGCAGGAAUGUGCUCCCCAUUGCAGUGCACCAGCUCCAUGUACUGAUUUUGGUGUGAACUUGAUGGGGUUGGUGGAAACUCGACUCGGCCAUCAAGCUCACCACAAUAUAACAUGAAAAGUGAAAAUUGCUGCACACAACAGUCUGUCGUCUGCACCGGGAGGCAAGGCAGCUCAAAGCCCAGGCUGUUACAACUCCUGGGCAGUUUUUGCCCAGAGUCAGCAAUUUUUUAGAUCCAAUAGGGAUGGAUUUU